Molecule: non-coding RNA, 1210 nt
Organism: Amborella trichopoda
Lineage: Eukaryota; Viridiplantae; Streptophyta; Magnoliopsida; Amborellales; Amborellaceae
Source: RefSeq, a predicted model, not a curated record
CGUAGGGCACUGAUUCACUUUAAAACCCCUCGCACACGAAAGCCCUGAUUGGCUGAAAUGCUUCAAGCGCCUACAAAUUUCAGCCAUACCCCCUCCUCCUGCGUGCUCUGCGAUUCUCUGUGAAUCAGAAGCUUCAUUGAGAAGCUCCCUCUCUCUCGCUUGCCCUCGUCUCUUCGGGCAACUAUAGAUGCUUUGCAUCCUCUCUCUCUAGCUCCCUCUCUCUCGCUUGCCCUCGUCUCUUCGGGCAACUAUAGAUGCUUUGCAUCCUCUCUCUCUAGCUCCCUCUCUCUCUCUUGCCCUCGUCUCUUCGGGCAACUAUAGAUGCUUUGCAUCCUCUCUCUCUCUAAAUUUCAGCUGCUCUCCCUCCUCAUUCGCUCUUGUCAGCUCACUGUGGUUGCAAGCAUCUCAAGAAGGCAGCACACUGAGAAAACCCCAACCCAAGAUGACUCAGAACUAGGCACCGAAAUCAGUAUACUAUAAGCAUGUCAUGGAUGCCUCAACAUCAACAUCUCCUUCCUCUCUUAUCAACAUUACUAGUUCAAAAAAUGGGCACGAAUGUAGUGCUCUGGCUGUAGUAGAUGAAGCUUAUCAUGAUUCUUCAUUUGAUGAGCUAGUGGACAGAUCCAGAGAGGAUUGACAAUGCAGACCGCAUCAUAGCUAUGGCGGAGACACUCAAAGAAUAUCUUGGGUUCGACCCCUAAAGGAAAACUUUGCGAAGCACCAGUUCUUGCAUUGCCCUGCAGCAACCACUAGUAUCAAAAUGGGGUUAAUUUGCCCUUAGGUAUCAGUAGUGAUCAGCAAACUUAACCUCUUUCUUGGGUUCCCAAUCAUGAUGACCACCAUCUGAUGCUACAAGAGGAUCCAAAUUUGUCACUAUCUCAAAGGGAUAUGGAAUACCCCCAAGAUGGCACUAUCUCAACUCUCUCAAGUUUCUCUGGAAGUGGCAGGCAGAUGUGUUGGGUAUAUGUAGCCUUUAAAGGCCUUAUGAGUGUGUAUUGAAAUACUUUUAUAGUGAAACAUAAACUCACUAGGAGUGUGGUCCAUCGAAGACCAUACUAAGCGAAUAAUGUUUGCUUAUACCGAACUUUGUUUAUCGAUCUAGGCCAGUCGGUUGGAAAACUCAAAGUACUUGGGAAUAAAGAAUUAACCGAGGAGGGUUUUGGGUUAACCCUUGAUGAAGUCGGAGCUUAUGCCUAGAUGAGAGAGCCGA